Molecule: ribosomal RNA, 559 nt
Filed under: Meyerozyma guilliermondii
Lineage: Eukaryota; Fungi; Ascomycota; Pichiomycetes; Serinales; Debaryomycetaceae
Description: eukaryotic LSU rRNA
Rfam family: Eukaryotic large subunit ribosomal RNA
Source: RNAcentral
GAUUGCCUUAGUAGCGGCGAGUGAAGCGGCAAAAGCUCAAAUUUGAAAUCUGGCGCCUUCGGUGUCCGAGUUGUAAUUUGAAGAUUGUAACCUUGGGGUUGGCUCUUGUCUAUGUUUCUUGGAACAGGACGUCACAGAGGGUGAGAAUCCCGUGCGAUGAGAUGCCCAAUUCUAUGUAAGGUGCUUUCGAAGAGUCGAGUUGUUUGGGAAUGCAGCUCUAAGUGGGUGGUAAAUUCCAUCUAAAGCUAAAUAUUGGCGAGAGACCGAUAGCGAACAAGUACAGUGAUGGAAAGAUGAAAAGAACUUUGAAAAGAGAGUGAAAAAGUACGUGAAAUUGUUGAAAGGGAAGGGUUUGAGAUCAGACUCGAUAUUUUGUGAGCCUUGCCUUCGUGGCGGGGUGACCCGCAGCUUAUCGGGCCAGCAUCGGUUUGGGCGGUAGGAUAAUGGCGUAGGAAUGUGACUUUACUUCGGUGAAGUGUUAUAGCCUGCGUUGAUGCUGCCUGCCUAGACCGAGGACUGCGAUUUUAUCAAGGAUGCUGGCAUAAUGAUCCCAAACCGC